Molecule: ribosomal RNA, 890 nt
Filed under: uncultured bacterium
Lineage: Bacteria
Description: bacterial SSU rRNA
Rfam family: Bacterial small subunit ribosomal RNA
Source: RNAcentral
GAAUUGUCAAGUCGAACGAAUCUAAGAGGGAGCUUGCUUCCACUUAGGUUAGUGGCGGACGGGUGAGUAACGCGUGAGUAACCUGCCUUUCAGAGGGGGAUAACGUCUGGAAACGGACGAUAAUACCGCAUAACAUUUCGAAGUCACAUGGCUUUGAAAUCAAAGGAGUAAUCCACUGAAAGAUGGACUCGCGUCCGAUUAGCUAGUUGGUGAGAUAAUAGCCCACCAAGGCGACGAUCGGUAGCCGGGUUGAGAGACUGAACGGCCACAUUGGGACUGAGACACGGCCCAGACUCCUACGGGAGGCAGCAGUGGGGGAUAUUGCACAAUGGAGGAAACUCUGAUGCAGCAACGCCGCGUGAGGGAAGACGGUUUUCGGAUUGUAAACCUCUGUCUUUUGGGAAGAUAAUGACGGUACCUAAAGAGGAAGCUCCGGCUAACUACGUGCCAGCAGCCGCGGUAAUACGUAGGGAGCAAGCGUUGUCCGGAUUUACUGGGUGUAAAGGGUGCGUAGGCGGCUUAGCAAGUCAGGCGUGAAAACUAUGGGCUUAACCCAUAGACUGCGUUUGAAACUGUUGAGCUUGAGUGAAGUAGAGGUAGGCGGAAUUCCCGGUGUAGCGGUGAAAUGCGUAGAGAUCGGGAGGAACACCAGUGGCGAAGGCGGCCUACUGGGCUUUAACUGACGCUGAGGCACGAAAGCAUGGGGUAGCAAACAGGAUUAGAUACCCUGGUAGUCCAUGCCGUAAACGAUGAUUACUAGGGUGUGGGGGGUCUGACCCCUUCCGUGCCGGAGUUAACACAAUAAGUAAUCCACCUGGAGAAGUACGACCGCAAGGUUGAAACUCAAAGGAAUUGACGGGGGGCCCGCACAAGCAGUGGUGUAUGUGGGU